Mytilus californianus (California mussel) is the source of this 1704-nucleotide long non-coding RNA. RefSeq lists it as uncharacterized. The record is from RefSeq and is a predicted model, not a curated record. Lineage: Eukaryota; Metazoa; Mollusca; Bivalvia; Mytilida; Mytilidae. The transcript has 6 exons.
UGUGACACUAAUUGGAUCCAGCAGCUAAAACUGUAAUCAUACAUCAAACAAUAGAAAAAGGCUCAAUAAGAACUCCGAUUCAUUCUUUCAAUCAGUUAAUGAAUCAAUCAAUGUUAGCUUUAUUUCCGCAUAGAAUGAAAUGACAAUGUUCACAAUUACAGAAUAACAGAAUAACAAGAGUUAAUGAAAUGGAAUGAACUAAACACAAAAAUAUAAUAAUUACGAAUUUGAAUUGGCAAUUAUACUAUACAUAUUUCCACAAAAUUUCUAAUUUGCAACACAUUUGCAGCAAAUUAUUGUAUCUAAGCUACGUAUCCUGUAAAUCAUACUAUUACAUGCAUUGAGCUUGUUUCUGUUGAUAAAUUGCAACUGAUGAGAAAUUAUUAGUUCUGGUUGUAGCAUUAACUUUUGUUCGCGAUUUUUUUUUUUAAUUGAUGAAAUAGUCCAUCACGAAGUAGGAAAUUGGUUUCAUUCGUUCAAUCUGUAGGCGUCCCACGUGUUUUCAUGACUAAAUUUACCGACAGUUUUUUAAAUUUAUUUUAAAAUUUCUUCCUGAUCUCCAAUCACUUGAAAGAGUGAUAAUGAAUGUUGCCAGUACCGAAACAAAAAAAUGUCUCUUACCUUUGUAUUGCUAAUAAUCUAUACUAUCCACGAAGGCAUAUGUUUGGAAGGUCUGAAUGUAUGCGAAGACUGGAGAAGCAAAAUAGAGUAUUGUUGUGCGGGCUAUGAAGACAAACAUGGUAUAUGUACAGAAUGCAACAUUGGUUUUACAUCUAUAAGCGGCAACUCGUGCACCCCGUGUGGAAACAACAGAUUCGGUGAAAGAUGUCUGGUUCGUUGCAACUGUCAGAGUGUAGAGAGGUGUGAUAAUGUAGUAGGGUGUAUACCAAAUGAAGUAAGCGACAACACCGCGCAUUCCACAAGAGCCACGGAGGAUAUUUUUUCCGAAAAACAGACGGUGCUAAAUUUGAAGUUGUUUGUCUACUGCGGAGGAAUUGCAGGAAUUAUAUUGCUGGUUUUGAGCUGUUCUGCUUGUGUGCAGUUCAGAAAUAGAGGGAAAAAACCAAACAUGACAAUUUCAAAUGAAGAAAACAGAAUUCUAAGAGGUUCAGUCAAAGACAAUCAAAAUAUAUCUACACAAAAGAAAAGUAUGCAUAUAUACCAUACCAUCGAUGACGACAUAUUAACAGAUCGAAAUUCCGAUUGUUAUGCAUAUCCAGUAGUACAGAAUGAAUCCAGUGACCCCAAAAGAAAAAAAAGUGAAACUGAAGCUGCUUGUAGUUAUGCUCAACCAUACAAAAGCCUGGUCCCUGUAACUAUUGAAAUGCAUCAUUAUAAAUAGAGAAAAUGAUUAGAAAUAUGCUUAAAACAGUUCACGCAGUAAUAAAUAAAAAAGAACCAUGAACACAGAAACGAAUCAAUUAUUUCAAAAGGGCCAACAAAUAAAAAUAUCAGACAAAAAAAAAGCCUCAGAAAUGACAAGGAAAAAUAAAUAGCUGUGAUCUGCUUUUCAUGUGUUAUAGAUAUAUGAGCAUGCUGUAUCAGAAUUUUUUAAUUUGGUUUUGUACUCUUUCUUUUGCCAUGUGUCUGUGUUAUAUAGUGUUGUUACAUGCAUAUUUUAGUUUUAAUUUGUUGCACAAAUGUAUGAUAUAUGUUGAAUUUUUGUUAGAUUUUUUUUCACUCUUAAUAAAAAAAAUGGCUUUC